This is a long non-coding RNA of Ananas comosus (pineapple), 939 nucleotides long. RefSeq lists it as uncharacterized. NCBI's taxonomy places the organism in Eukaryota, Viridiplantae, Streptophyta, Magnoliopsida, Poales, Bromeliaceae. The record is from RefSeq and is a predicted model, not a curated record. The transcript has 3 exons.
CCUAUAUAUAUAAGGGACUUGAGCCUUUUCUCUCAUUCUCCACUACUUAAACCAAAAAAGAAACCUUCUCUUUCUCUCUCUAAACCUCUCUCUCUCCUAGAGUUUUGCUCCAAAAGUGGAGAUUUGGUGGAAGAAGCUUACUUGGAGGUGAAGCUUUCUUCUUCUUCACCAUUGGCUUGAAGAGAGCUUGGGUUUGAGGUAAAACCGACGCGGAGGAUCACUCGGAUUGAGAUUCCGUUGAGCCGGUGGUGGUCAAAGUGAAGAAAAUCCUGUUUUUGCUUCGUUUGCCGCAAUCGGAAGAAAUCGACGGCCAUAAAUCGCGCUGCUAGGCUACCCGCUUCGUGUCAACGCCACGAGACCUAGUGGGAAAAUCGGCGGGGUCGGCGACCGAAUCCACUGGAAACUUUGUUUAGUUCUCACACCCUGUUUUGCAGAGCCUAGUACGAGCGCGUGCGUCGAGAAUCGCGGCAAGGGCAUCGCGCCCUAGAUAGAGUGGACCACCGGCAUUAGCUCACUACCAUCGAGUAUAGAAAGGAAAGAAUGAAUGUAAAAACCCUUUUGGAAAGAGAAUGUGAUGUAAAUGUUAGAUAUUAGUUUGUAUGUUAAAUGAGAGGUUUUGUAAUAAGCUAAAGAAUGUAAGUUGUUAAAUACACUCUGGAAAUGUUUUAGUAAGUAGCUUACUUUCUCUUGUAUCUUGAUAUGCCUCUCGCAAAUGUUGAAUGCUAAUAUCUUUUGUUUAGAUAUGUAUGCAUAGACUUUGUUACGCUUCGGGCGGACAGGGGAAACUCUGUCCGUUCAGCGGGUCUGUUUCGGACCCGAACUGUCCAAAUUGGUGGUGACGGGUCGUGAUACUUUCCUCUUAGGUUACUCUCGCGGCUACAUUUGUUCCUGUUGAGCUCUUUUUAUACAAAGUUGUUGGUCGAAAAUUAGUUGAAAUAA